Molecule: transfer RNA, 51 nt
Filed under: Blomia tropicalis
Lineage: Eukaryota; Metazoa; Arthropoda; Arachnida; Sarcoptiformes; Echimyopodidae
Description: tRNA-Ser
Source: RNAcentral
AAAGUAAAUCUCAGGACUUCUAAUCCUAACUAUCCAUAAAGGAUUACUUUU